UUUGAAGGGAGCAUUUGUGGACUCUGUUCU
RNAcentral lists this non-coding RNA (30 nucleotides) under Callithrix jacchus (white-tufted-ear marmoset). The record is from RNAcentral. Lineage: Eukaryota; Metazoa; Chordata; Mammalia; Primates; Cebidae. RNAcentral also lists the same sequence under 4 other names.